Cyprinus carpio carpio is the source of this 418-nucleotide long non-coding RNA. The record is from Ensembl. Lineage: Eukaryota; Metazoa; Chordata; Actinopteri; Cypriniformes; Cyprinidae.
UCUCUCUGUCUCGGUCUCCGGCGCUCUUUGCAGUCCUUUGUUUUAUCUCAGGUGAAUUGUAAUCAUGUGAUCAAACGAACACCCCCCUUCCAUUACCCUCUUAAAUGAAAAAAUGAGGAACAAAAAGCAGUUCUGUGUAUAUAAAAAAAGAAAAGAAAAGAGAAAAGACGCGCGUCUCCCUUUGGAGAGUCUUUUCUCCGUGUGGCUUCAAACGUACACAUAUAGAGGAAAAGCGCGGCGCCGUGUCUCCGUCUCUCGGCGGUACAGAUGUGCGGGGAUCACGCGGAUCUGAGGCCUGCUGCACGCUUUGAUUGGAAGCAGGUUACUGAAAAACCUUCUACAAGUGAUUCACCUGAACAAGAGGAAGACUGAGUCAAAGAUAUCGAGCUGUGGAGGAGUGAGAGUUCUGAGAGAGAGA